UACGUAGGGGGCGAGCGUUGUCCGGAAUCAUUGGGCGUAAAGCGCGCGCAGGCGGCCGCGAGAGCCCGGCGUGAAAGCCCCCGGCUCAACCGGGGGAGGCCGUCGGGGACCUCGUGGCUGGAGGCCGGCAGGGGUGAGUGGAAUUCCCGGUGUAGUGGUGGAAUGCGUAGAUAUCGGGAGGAACACCAGUGGCGAAGGCGGCUUUCUGGUCUGCUCUUGACGCUGAGGCGCGAAAGCUAGGGUAGCAAACGGG
Molecule: ribosomal RNA, 253 nt
Filed under: uncultured bacterium
Lineage: Bacteria
Description: partial 16S ribosomal RNA
Rfam family: Bacterial small subunit ribosomal RNA
Source: RNAcentral